AUCAAAGCCCAAAAUUGGCCCAAAAGUACUACAAUACUAACUCAAACAAAAACAACAAAAUAAACAAAAAAAGGAAAGAAGAACAAAACUAAAAGAAAGUGGGAAAGUCCAGCCACCAUUCUUCAGAACUUCAUCUAGCAGAACAACCAUGGAGGACAACGGAAGACGAGGAGUCGAUUCCCUUCAGGCUACUAGAGCUGACAACGUAGGUGCCAGUGAGUCUUGAUUGUUUUACAAGGGCAUUCAAACCUCUCACAAAUGCCAUAAAUCAAUCAAAUAAAAACUUCUUCAACUCCUAGCACUACCAGUCCUAUCUUGCACAACCAUGGUUGAGCUCAGCUUGGAGCUAAUACCACUGUCUAAGCCAGAAGAAUCCAUAGAUCCAUUUAUUAACUAAUCGAGUUUCUAUCAAGGUUGUCGUUCCAUUGGGGUCUUUAUAAGCAACAUCUUCCAGUAUUAGGAUAUCUGGACUUGUACCUUCUUGCAGACCCUAGAAAUCUCUUGUGCAUGAGGUAUCAAUCUACAAAGUGUAUCUGCAGGCAGUUCUCCAUCCUCUAGCUCAUCCACAUGUAGGGCAUCAAAAAGGUAUAUUCGAUUGUUCUCCUUCUUUUAUCCUUCAAUUACUGCCUCAUCCUCCUUUCGUUUGAGCGCCAGGAUGCAAGCUCCUGCAUUCCUCUUCCACGUGUCCUUGAAGCUUGCAGACGCAGGUAAUCAUGAUCAGUAUCUAGCACCUUGUUGAUCCAGUUUGAGCACUCAGAGUCGUGUGGUGAGCCUCAUUGCUUACGAAGGGUCUCUUUUAUUGCUUUGGUUUUAUUAUUAGUUCAUGAGGAUGUCGUGGGCCUGUCCCGACAUCCAUCUCAGUUGUUUAGAGACUUCAUAGACAGACAGUCAGUUAGUUAAAUUCAUUUGUCACUACUUUAUUAUUGUCUUAUGUUUUUGAGACUUGA
This is a long non-coding RNA of Solanum tuberosum (potato), 947 nucleotides long. RefSeq lists it as uncharacterized. The transcript is spliced from 6 exons. NCBI's taxonomy places the organism in Eukaryota, Viridiplantae, Streptophyta, Magnoliopsida, Solanales, Solanaceae. The record is from RefSeq and is a predicted model, not a curated record.